GCCCCAGGUCCGGAGGGCGUCGGCGCGCGAAUCGCGUCAGGACCGUGCAGGUAGCAGCGCUAAGCGAAGGCAGACGUCGCUCCGGGGUGCCUGGGGCACU
Molecule: signal recognition particle RNA, 100 nt
Filed under: Gemmatimonadota bacterium
Lineage: Bacteria; Pseudomonadati; Gemmatimonadota
Description: signal recognition particle sRNA small type
Rfam family: Bacterial small signal recognition particle RNA
About the family: The signal recognition particle (SRP) is a universally conserved ribonucleoprotein involved in the co-translational targeting of proteins to membranes. Archaeal SRP consists of a 7S RNA and homologues of the eukaryotic SRP19 and SRP54 proteins. In most bacteria, the SRP consists of a 4.5S RNA and the Ffh protein (a homologue of the eukaryotic SRP54 protein).
Source: RNAcentral